GAUGAACGCUGGCGGCGUGCCUAAUACGUGCAAGUCGAGCGAACAGACGAGGAGCUUGCUCCUCUGACGUUAGCGGCGGACGGGUGAGUAACACGUGGAUAACCUACCUAUAAGACUGGGAUAACUUCGGGAAACCGGAGCUAAUACCGGAUAACAUGUUGAACCGCAUGGUUCAACAGUGAAAGACGGUCUUGCUGUCACUUAUAGAUGGAUCCGCGCCGCAUUAGCUAGUUGGUAAGGUAACGGCUUACCAAGGCAACGAUGCGUAGCCGACCUGAGAGGGUGAUCGGCCACACUGGAACUGAGACACGGUCCAGACUCCUACGGGAGGCAGCAGUAGGGAAUCUUCCGCAAUGGGCGAAAGCCUGACGGAGCAACGCCGCGUGAGUGAAGAAGGUCUUCGGAUCGUAGAACUCUGUUAUUAGGGAAGAACAAAUGUGUAAGUAACUAUGCACGUCUUGACGGUACCUAAUCAGAAAGCCACGGCUAACUACGUG
Molecule: ribosomal RNA, 497 nt
Filed under: uncultured bacterium
Lineage: Bacteria
Description: partial 16S ribosomal RNA
Rfam family: Bacterial small subunit ribosomal RNA
Source: RNAcentral